AGAGUUUGAUCAUGGCUCAGGAUGAACGCUAGCGGCAGGCCUAAUACAUGCAAGUCGUACGAGAACUCUUUAGCUUGCUAAAGAUAGUAAAGUGGCGCACGGGUGAGUAACGCGUGGGUAAUCUACCUCUGAAUUUGGGAUAACUCCGCGAAAGCGGGGCUAAUACCGGAUAAUAUUUCAGGAUCUUCGGGUCUUGAAAUCAAAAGUGGCCUCUACAUGUAAGCUACUGUUUGGAGAUGAGCCCGCGUACCAUUAGCUUGUUGGUAGGGUAAUGGCCUACCAAGGCUACGAUGGUUAGCUGGUCUGAGAGGAUGAUCAGCCACACUGGAACUGACACACGGUCCAGACUCCUACGGGAGGCAGC
This 364-nucleotide ribosomal RNA is filed under the name uncultured bacterium. RNAcentral describes it as "bacterial SSU rRNA". It matches the Rfam family "Bacterial small subunit ribosomal RNA", at positions 8 to 352 of the family's 1533-position model. The record is from RNAcentral.